This 486-nucleotide ribosomal RNA is filed under the name uncultured bacterium. Its description in RNAcentral is "bacterial SSU rRNA". It matches the Rfam family "Bacterial small subunit ribosomal RNA", at positions 28 to 524 of the family's 1533-position model. The record is from RNAcentral.
GACGAACGCUGGCGGCGUGCCUAACACAUGCAAGUCGAACGAGGUCCAUGCAGUGGCAACACUGCGGAAGACCUAGUGGCGAACGGGUGAGUAACACGUGAGGAACCUGCCCCGAAGACCGGGAUAACCCUCCGAAAGGAGAGCUAAUACCGGAUACCCCCACCUGAUCGCAUGAUCGGGUGAGGAAAUGGAUUCCGCUUCGGGAGGGCCUCGCGGCCUAUCAGCUUGUUGGUGGGGUAACGGCCCACCAAGGCAUCGACGGGUAGCUGGUCUGAGAGGACGAUCAGCCACACUGGGACUGAGACACGGCCCAGACUCCUACGGGAGCAGCAGUGGGGAAUCUUGCGCAAUGGGCGAAAGCCUGACGCAGCAACGCCGCGUGGGGGAUGAAGGCUCUCGGGUUGUAAACCCCUUUCAGCAGGGACGAAUCAAGACGGUACCUGCAGAAGAAGCCCCGGCUAACUACGUGCCAGCAGCCGCGGUAAU